AAUGGGACAGUUAAUCAGUUUCUUUCAGGACAUACCGAUUUUCUUUGAAGAAGCACUCAAUGUAGCCUUGGCUGUGGUUACACUGCUUGCUAUUAUAAAGGGCAUUGUGAAUGUUUGGAAAUCAGGAAUUCUUCAGCUGUUUGUGUUCUUGGUUCUGGCGGGAAGGUCAUGCUCUUUCAAAGUUGGUCAUCACACAAAUUUUGAGUCAUUUACAGUUAAGCUAGGAGGUGUCUUCCAUGAAUUACCUUCACUAUGUAGGGUCAACAACUCUUACAGUCUAAUUAGGCUUUCUCAUAACAGCAAUCAGGCAUUAUCAGUUGAGUAUGUGGAUGUGCACCCUGUCCUCUGUUCGUCCAGUCCAACCAUACUCGACAACUACACUCAAUGCAUAAAAGGCUCUCCAGAGUUUGAUUGGAUUCUUGGAUGGACAAUUAAGGGAUUGGGACAUGACUUUUUGAGGGAUCCAAGAAUCUGCUGUGAGCCUAAAAAGACAACUAAUACUGAAUUUACAUUCCAGUUGAAUUUAACAGAUAGUCCUGAGACCCAUCACUAUAGGAGCAAGAUUGAGGUAGGCAUCCGGCAUUUAUUCGGGAACUACAUAACUAAUGAUAGCUAUUCAAAAAUGUCUGUGGUUAUGAGGAACACCUCCUGGGAAGGUCAAUGCUCAAAUAGUCAUGUGAAUACACUAAGAUUUCUUGUUAAAAAUGCAGGUUACCUUGUUGGAAGAAAGCCACUGGCAUUUUUUAGUUGGUCACUUUCUGACCCAAAGGGUAAUGACAUGCCAGGUGGUUACUGUCUUGAAAGGUGGAUGUUGGUUGCUGGAGAUUUGAAGUGCUUUGGCAACACAGCUGUCGCCAAGUGUAAUUUGAAUCAUGACUCUGAGUUCUGUGACAUGUUGAGGCUGUUUGACUUCAAUAAGAAUGCCAUUGAAAAACUGAACAACCAAACUAAAACUGCUGUCAACAUGUUGACUCACUCAAUAAAUAGUCUAAUAUCUGAUAAUUUAUUGAUGAGAAACAAACUGAAAGAGGUUUUGAAAGUCCCAUAUUGCAACUACACAAGAUUCUGGUACAUAAACCACACGAAAUCUGGUGAGCACUCACUGCCUCGGUGUUGGCUAGUCAGUAAUGGUUCCUAUUUGAAUGAGAGUGAUUUUAGAAAUGAGUGGAUCUUGGAAAGUGAUCACCUAAUAGCAGAGAUGUUAAGCAAAGAAUACCAAGACAGGCAGGGGAAGACUCCCCUAACACUGGUUGAUCUGUGUUUUUGGAGUGCAAUCUUUUUCACCACAAGUCUCUUUUUACACCUGGUUGGGUUCCCAACGCAUAGACAUAUACAGGGUGACCCGUGCCCUUUGCCUCACAGGCUCGAUAGAAAUGGUGCUUGCAGGUGUGGCAGGUAUCAAAAACUUGGAAAACAAGUAACCUGGAAGAGAAAGCAUUGAUUUCAUCAGCCCUCCAGCUCUGUCGGCCCGGAAACCCGGGCCGACAGAGCGCCCCCCAGUCCGCGGCAAUGCCGCGGACUGGGAGGGCAUCUGCCUACAUUACAAAUGCGCUCUUGGCUUGGAACACUAAUGUGUUUGGUAGCAGUUGAAUGGGAAUGGUGUCGGGAAGAUGACCAUCAAGAACAGACUGGAACAUAAUGCAAUCGAGAAGAGCACAGUGUGGCUCCUUCGUGGAGUUAGCUUCCUUGUUUUUCUUCUUAGGAACAAUGACACCAUUGUGUGCUCUGCAGAGGUGGCCAAAUUUUUCCCAAACUUCUUGUUCAAAGAUUCUGGACUGUUCCCCAGUCAGUCUGACAUCAACAAGUUUUAAAUCUUUCCUUCCAUGUAUGUCGAAAAGCUUUUUGAUAUCAUCUGCCCCUUGAACAGUGAUAACUGAACCCUGUGGCAAUAAGCCAAUGACGUAACUCAAUAGACCAGGUUGAGCAUCUUCGAGGUCCUUUAAUAGUAUGCCGUGUGAGUGCCUACUUCCAUUUUUAAAACCCUUCUCAUCAUGAGGUUUUCUGAAACAGUGUACAUAGUUUCCUGAAGAAGGUUGGAAAACUGCCAACUCCACAGGAUCAGUUGGCGGGCCUUCAAUGUCCAUCCAGAUUGUGUCUGAUGAAUCUAAUUUCCUCAUUGCUUCCUUUACGAUCGCUUCUUGCAUUUCAGAAAGAUUUGAUAGUCUGAUAUUUUGUCCAUUCUUUUCAGGAGCUCGGGGACCUGUUACAGGUCUUGCAGUUAAAUCGACACUUGUGUUGUCCCAGGACCUCCCGAGUAUUUGUGACCUUGAUCCAAUGUAUGGCCAACCCUCUCCAGACAAACACAGCUUGUAGAGAAGAUUCUCAUAAGGGUUUCUAUUACCCGGUCUCUCAUCUAUGAACAUGCCUUCCCUUCUUUUGACGUUCAAUGCGGCCUUGACAAUAGAAGAGAAGUUGUUGGGUGUGACUUUUAUUGUCUCCAGCAUGUUGCCACCAUCUAUAAGUGAUGCACCAGCUUUUACAGCAGCUGAAAGACUGAAAUUAUAGCCAGAUAUGUUGAGUGCACUCUCAUCCUUUGUUAUUAUCUGUAGGCAGUCGUGUUCUAAAGUUAGUUUUUCCAGGUCAUCAAGAUUGGGGUAUUUGACAGUGUAGAGAAGACCAAGUGAUGUUAGUGCCUGCACAACAUUGUUCAUUGUUUCUCCUCCCUGAACUGUCAUGCAGGCAAUGGUAAGAGCUGGCAUUGAACCAAAUUGGUUGUUCAGUUUGGAGGGAUCAGAUACAUCCCACAACCUGACAACCCCACCUGCAGCCCCCCUUUGUUGUUGGAAUCCCAGGGUUCUAAGAAUCCCUGCUCUUUUUUCCAAUUGUGACUGUGUCAAGUUUCCCAUGUACAUCCUUGGGCUAUUGCCUUCCCUAUCUCCAAUCUUCUUCUUUAGUUUUUCUAGAUCUGAGGCCAAGUCCAUUAAUUCAUCUUUGCCCAAAUCACCAACCUUCAGAACUGUGUUGUUCUGAACACUUUUCAUGCUCAUCAAUCUAUCAACUUCUUUGUUUAAGUCCCUAAGUUUAUCAAGAUCAGUGUCUCCUCGUUUGGACUUACGUAGGAGUCUUUGAACUUGAGAAACUUGUGUGAAAUCAAGGGAGUCUGCAAUGAGCUUUGCAUCAUUAAGCACACUUGACUUGGUUGGUUCAGUGAACAUCCCUAGUUCUCUCCUUAGAGAUUGAGUCCAGCGGAAGCUGGGGAUUUCUUUGGAGUGAGCCAUGGUUCGCGUUGUGUAGAAGACUAAGACAAAAAUGCCUAGGAUCCUCUGUGCG
RNAcentral lists this unclassified non-coding RNA (3270 nucleotides) under Mammarenavirus guanaritoense. Its description in RNAcentral is "5' non-coding region (NCR)". The record is from RNAcentral. Lineage: Riboviria; Orthornavirae; Negarnaviricota; Bunyaviricetes; Hareavirales; Arenaviridae.